This 3521-nucleotide long non-coding RNA is filed under the name Capsicum annuum. RNAcentral's name for it is "long non-coding RNA (CANN_LNC002534)". Lineage: Eukaryota; Viridiplantae; Streptophyta; Magnoliopsida; Solanales; Solanaceae. The record is from RNAcentral.
GAGAAUAGCCUCCACCCACGCACAAUUAUAACAUCUAGAAGCAGUAACAAACUGCUACGCGAUACCCCCUUCAACUAAAAUCAAACCCGAUUCCACCAAUCAAUCCCAAGAGUAAUUCUAAAUCAACUUGUUUUCCUCUCCUCUCCAUCAUCACGCGCUUGUCCAUGCAAUUUUGUAGGAGGAAGAACCUCGAAGCUUCUAGAAAACAUCUUAGGUGUCUCCUCUAAUGUCUAUAUUCCAUAAAUUUUGGAAUAAGGGUACGGAUUAGGUAUGCAUUUGGGCAUUUUUCAUUGAUUGGGAAAAGGUUUUGAUUUUCCCCAUUUUUAAUUGGUUCACUCAUUUGCCAUUUUCUGAAGAAAUCCAAAGAAGAUGGUACGGUUUUGAGCAAAAAUGGGUUGGGGGGGGGGAAGAUUUUUGAAUUUAAAAAGUCAAAAAAUAUCUUUCUUCCAAACCCCUAAAAUACCAUACUUCGUCUUCUAUAUAAAGACGGUUGGGUUACUAGUUUUAGGGUCUUCUAUUUUUCAGAGAAUUAGGGUCGAAAAAUUUUGGGGGGUUCUUUUUUUUUCUCUUCAUUCAAGGUUAGAGAUUUUGGUUUGGAGAUUCGAGGGUUAGGGUUCUUUCGGUGAAAUUUUAAGGAUUUUCGGGCCCUGAGGUUUAGGAAAUACAAACUGAAAGGAAUUCUAUGCUUGAACCCAAAAAGGGGAUUUCGAGAAAAGAAAACCAUCCUUCAGCAAUAGUUUUAGAAAAAUCGUCGACUAGUUGAGACUCUUGCGAAGAAUUUGGAUUUUUUCGGUGGUGAUAGAAUCCGGUGUUAACUCGUUGCCCUGUUUUGUUGCCCCGAAAGAGGAAAAUCUACUCUUUCACCUUUUAAUCUAUCGUUUUACUUCUUCAUUUCUUCUCUUCAUAAAAUUAAUUCACUGUUUAUUAAUAAUCAUGAAUGAGGCUGGGAUUUCUCUACUGCAGUUGGCUAUGAUGGCCUUAGGGGUUGUUUUGUGACUAUUGUUGUACCAUUUCCCUAAAGCAGUGCUUAAGUUGUAAUUUUUAAUGCGGCCAUGUCAAACAUACUGUCUUAAACUGAUGCGGUGGUUUACCUGAGAGUUCAUGGUAUGAAUCAACAUAUACAUCAUCAAGAUUUUUCCUUUCAUUUCCAGUUUUCUUUUUUGUAUCUAGAGUUUUUGCUAUGCUAGGCUAAUUGUUGUUGUAAUCGUUUGAUCCAUGAUUUUAACUUUGUUUUUCUUCCCUCGGUUUUGCAGUCUAUUGCUUAAACCUUGAUAUCGUUAUUUAGUUAUUUACCCAUUAUUUUUAUUUCACAUGUUGCUUUGUUCAUUCACUGUAAACAGUUUGCCUAGAUGUUGCAACUUGCUUAAUAAGAUUAGAGUAAAAUUCCUAUGUUUAAUUUUAUGUUUCUUAAGCAGGUUGUAUAGUUUAAGUUUUGAGUGGAAUAUUAUUUCUUUUGUUGCAUUACUUGGGGUAUUGGUCCUAUGGUAUUAUUGGAUGUGUUGAAUAUAUCGUCUUGCCAUUUCUUGUCUAGAUUAUUUUAUUUUGAGUCGAGGGUCUAGCGGAAACAACCUAUUCAAAUCGCUUUCCCUCUUGUUUCUUUACUUUUGAUUCAAUUUUGGUUCAUUUGACUAGGGCUCUUAGAGUUCUGUAAGGAAUAUUUCAACCAUCGAAUGAUGCGUCUGCAACUUACUGGCAUAUAUAAGUAUUAAACAUAGUUCUAAUAACAAUAAUAAAAAAAAAAAAGUUGCAAAUAGAAUAAAGUUCCAUUAUUUAAUUCAGGAAUCCAAUGAUAAGGUUGAUCAUCCUAGGUUGUUUUAACAAAUCACCAUCAAAUCAUUCUGCCCUCAAUUCGUUACCUUACAUUAUGAAGCCUGCCUGUUGAAAUUUUGUUUCCUUUAGUUGCUUAACUGGAAAUUGGUUGUAUGUGAUGUAGUGGUUUUCUCUUUAUUAAACUUUGGUUAAAAUAUUUUCCCUUAUAUUUUGCCUAAAAUGCAUAUUUCUAUACAUGCUUUUGAUUAGCCGUUUCUAAUCCUUAUUCAUUUCCUUUGCAUGCACUAUGUACCCUGAGUUCAAAAUGGACUCAUUCUCCCCUUGCAUUUUCUCUAUGGGCCACGGGGCUCGCCAUUUCUAUGACAAUCAUUUUGGAAAGAAAGCCCAAACAUCGAUCAUAUGACCUCCGGAUGCAAGAAACCAAAGGAGGAAAGAUGGAUCAAAAUCCUAUCUUUGAAGCGGCCAAGAGACUCGAGAGUCCCGUCUUUCACUCAUUUAUUUAUUUAUUCUAUUUAUUUCCUUAACCCUUUAUGGCUGCCUUUGUUCAUUUCUUCUCAUUAUUCAUUCAUCUGGGCCUCGAAGUCAAAGUUGUAUUUAAUACAGGUGGAGCAAGAUUCGAGCUAAAGGUUCGAAAAAUAGUUAGGACAGGUGAAAUGGGUCAGAAGCCCAACUAGACUAGGACAGGUCUCGUUGAUUUGGGCCCAAUGGCCUAAAUCCUUUACUUUCUCCUCCCUUUCCCUUUUAUGUGUUUAUUUGUUUAUUAGUUUUGUUUAGACUUAGUUAAAAUCCCUACUAAGUUGCCUAAAUCUAUUUUACACAAAUAUUUUUUUUUAAAUGAAAUUACUAUUUCAACAAAUUAAUCUUUUCAGAAGUUAAUCAAAAGAUAUUUUCAAACAGUCCGGACAACCACAAGUUAGCGGACGUUUUAGGUUCCUAACACCUUCCUAAAACGUUAAUAAGAAUCGCUUUCUCAGAAUCUCUAACUUAAAAUAAUUUUCCUAUUUUGAAUCAUUUUAAGUAACUCUCUAAAGAUUUCUUAAUUUCUUUUCAAAAUUAAGUGGCGACUCUUCUUUCAAGUCAAAAUUUUCGCAAAACAGAAAUGGCGACUCUGCUGGGGAAUGAUUAACUAGGUUCUAACCAAAUGUUUGAUUUUGUCUUUUGAUUAACUGUUUAUAUGUCUAUAUGUUUCGAUUCUGUAAAGUUUAAUUAUCGUAUCUCAUGGCGUAUUCCUGUAUUAUUUAAACUGUUUUGGGGUUUCGUGGAUGUCCCGGCCCCUACUGUUCAAUUUCAAAAUAUGUUGGAAAUAUGAACAGCUUAUUAGCACGUGAGUCAUCUGACAUUACUCAUAUUUUGAAACUCAAGUUUUCCUCUUAAGAACCAGUGUUCAAACCCACUUUGACCACCGAGGAUAGAACGAAACCAAAACCCUAUUUUAGGCAUGAGCCUAGGACGACCCAAUACCCGAGAGGGGUAUUUGGCCCAUUAGAAAACCCGCCCCGUGUCUAUUGACCCUGAGUCAAUUACAGACGAAUCAUAUUUAUGUGUUGAUAAAAAUACAUGCUUGUCUAAAUUCAAUCCAUUAUCCUUUGGGGUCGGGGGGAGGCUUAUCUUUGUCUGCUUUCAUGUAGGAUAUGGCUCAACUACAUUCCCACAAAACGUUCAAGAUGGUUACUAAACCUGAUGAUUUCUUGAAACUAUGGUGGGACCACAUGAGCGCAGAAGAGAAAAAGAUUGUUAGAACACACAUUGGG